CGUGUAGGCGGUUCGGUAAGUCCGCUGUGAAAGUCGGGGGCUCAACCCUCGAAAGCCGGUGGAUACUGUCGGGCUAGAGUACGGAAGAGGCGAGUGGAAUUCCUGGUGUAGCGGUGAAAUGCGCAGAUAUCAGGAGGAACACCAAUUGCGAAGGCAGCUCGCUGGGACGUAACUGACGCUGAGACGCGAAAGCGUGGGGAGCAAACA
RNAcentral lists this ribosomal RNA (207 nucleotides) under uncultured bacterium. Its description in RNAcentral is "partial 16S ribosomal RNA". It matches the Rfam family "Bacterial small subunit ribosomal RNA", at positions 568 to 774 of the family's 1533-position model. The record is from RNAcentral.